RNAcentral lists this transfer RNA (68 nucleotides) under Micropotamogale ruwenzorii (Ruwenzori otter shrew). RNAcentral's name for it is "tRNA-Thr". The record is from RNAcentral. Lineage: Eukaryota; Metazoa; Chordata; Mammalia; Afrosoricida; Tenrecidae.
AUCUGUAUAGUAUACCUAUUACUACGGCCUUGUAAGCCGUCAACGGAGACAUACCCCUCCUACAGAUA